UACGGGGGUAAACGGGUGGAGCCCUAAGUGCCGAGCGGGGAGACUCAGUUCGGUGCGGGUCCGGCGCAGCGCGCGUAGCUCGGUGUCGAGCCGCCCUCGUGGCGGACGGCGCCGGGGCCGCGCGCGGCGGCCGGUGCUCGCUCCGAGCGCACUUCUCCCCUAGUAGGGCGUCGCGACCCGCUGGGCGUCGGUCUACGGCCCGGGGAUCAGUCCCGUCCGCCUCGGCGGGCGGGCCCCCGGAGUCCCGGCCGACCGCUCGGCGGUGGUGCACGAGGAGGAGGCCCGCGGGACGCCACGCGUCUCGCGCCGGCGGCCUGGGCGAACGUCCGCCUGGUGUCCGCGCUCGGGCUUGCCCGACGCGGCCCAUGCGGCGUGUCGGCUCGGGGCCCGCUCCGGCAGGGUCGACGUCUCUCGUCCGCGACGUUAACAAGUGGGCGGCCCACCCGACCCGUCUUGAAACACGGACCAAGGAGUCCAGCAUGCGCGCGAGUCGACGGGACUAUCUAGACCCGAAGGCGUAUUGAACGAAAAGGCCCGCCUCGCGCGGGCUUAGGGGAGAUGGCGGCCCUCGGGCCGCCCGCACCCCCGGGGCGUCUCGAUCUACCGCCGCUCGUCGGCGGAAGGCGAGGCGCACCUAGAGCGCGCACGCUGGGACCCGAAAGAUGGUGAACUAUGCCUGGCCAGGACGAAGUCAGGGGAAACCCUGAUGGAGGUCCGUAGCGAUUCUGACGUGCAAAUCGAUCGUCAGAGCUGGGUAUAGGGGCGAAAGACUAAUCGAUACC
This 782-nucleotide ribosomal RNA is filed under the name Baetidae sp. BCOD-2008. Its description in RNAcentral is "eukaryotic LSU rRNA". The stretch from base 465 to 782 matches the Rfam family "Eukaryotic large subunit ribosomal RNA", at positions 665 to 941 of the family's 3401-position model. The record is from RNAcentral. Lineage: Eukaryota; Metazoa; Arthropoda; Insecta; Ephemeroptera; Baetidae.